This 397-nucleotide ribosomal RNA is filed under the name Bifidobacterium bifidum. RNAcentral describes it as "bacterial SSU rRNA". It matches the Rfam family "Bacterial small subunit ribosomal RNA", at positions 379 to 786 of the family's 1533-position model. The record is from RNAcentral. Lineage: Bacteria; Bacillati; Actinomycetota; Actinomycetes; Bifidobacteriales; Bifidobacteriaceae.
CAGCCUGAUGCAGCGACGCCGCGUGAGGGAUGGAGGCCUUCGGGUUGUAAACCUCUUUUGUUUGGGAGCAAGCCUUCGGGUGAGUGUACCUUUCGAAUAAGCGCCGGCUAACUACGUGCCAGCAGCCGCGGUAAUACGUAGGGCGCAAGCGUUAUCCGGAUUUAUUGGGCGUAAAGGGCUCGUAGGCGGCUCGUCGCGUCCGGUGUGAAAGUCCAUCGCUUAACGGUGGAUCUGCGCCGGGUACGGGCGGGCUGGAGUGCGGUAGGGGAGACUGGAAUUCCCGGUGUAACGGUGGAAUGUGUAGAUAUCGGGAAGAACACCGAUGGCGAAGGCAGGUCUCUGGGCCGUCACUGACGCUGAGGAGCGAAAGCGUGGGGAGCGAACAGGAUUAGAUACC